RNAcentral lists this ribosomal RNA (759 nucleotides) under uncultured Prevotella sp. RNAcentral's name for it is "bacterial SSU rRNA". It matches the Rfam family "Bacterial small subunit ribosomal RNA", at positions 28 to 776 of the family's 1533-position model. The record is from RNAcentral. Lineage: Bacteria; Pseudomonadati; Bacteroidota; Bacteroidia; Bacteroidales; Prevotellaceae.
GAUGAACGCUAGCUACAGGCUUAACACAUGCAAGUCGAGGGGAAACGACAUUGAAGCUUGCUUCGAUGGGCGUCGACCGGCGCACGGGUGAGUAACGCGUAUCCAACCUGCCUCUGACUAAGGGAUAACCCGGCGAAAGUCGGACUAAUACCUUAUGAGGUUUUCUGCAGACAUCUAACGAAAACGAAAGAUUUAUCGGUCAGCGAUGGGGAUGCGUCUGAUUAGCUUGUUGGCGGGGUAACGGCCCACCAAGGCAACGAUCAGUAGGGGUUCUGAGAGGAAGGUCCCCCACAUUGGAACUGAGACACGGUCCAAACUCCUACGGGAGGCAGCAGUGAGGAAUAUUGGUCAAUGGGCGAGAGCCUGAACCAGCCAAGUAGCGUGCAGGAUGACGGCCCUAUGGGUUGUAAACUACUUUUAUGUGGGGAUAAAGUGAGCUACGUGUAGUUUAUUGCAGGUACCACAUGAAUAAGGACCGGCUAAUUCCGUGCCAGCAGCCGCGGUAAUACGGAAGGUCCAGGCGUUAUCCGGAUUUAUUGGGUUUAAAGGGAGCGUAGGCCGUGGAUUAAGCGUGUUGUGAAAUGUAGACGCUCAACGUCUGAAUUGCAGCGCGAACUGGUUCACUUGAGUAUGCACAACGUAGGCGGAAUUCGUCGUGUAGCGGUGAAAUGCUUAGAUAUGACGAAGAACUCCGAUUGCGAAGGCAGCUUACGGGAGCACAACUGACGCUGAAGCUCGAAGGUGCGGGUAUCAAACAGG